Molecule: small nucleolar RNA, 134 nt
Filed under: Carlito syrichta (Philippine tarsier)
Lineage: Eukaryota; Metazoa; Chordata; Mammalia; Primates; Tarsiidae
Description: Small nucleolar RNA SNORA20 (ENSTSYG00000025678.1)
Rfam family: Small nucleolar RNA SNORA20
About the family: ACA20 is a member of the H/ACA class of snoRNA that guide the sites of modification of uridines to pseudouridines.
Source: Rfam by way of RNAcentral
GUUCCCUUUUUUUUGUUGCCACUAUGAUCUCCCAUUGAUAUGAGCAGUUAUAUGCAUGGGAUAAAAUAAUAUUAGGCCAUUGUAAAUUGAUAUGAAGUAACCAUUUUCAUCUCUUCUGCAUGAAGGAGACACUG